Molecule: ribosomal RNA, 293 nt
Filed under: uncultured bacterium
Lineage: Bacteria
Description: partial 16S ribosomal RNA
Rfam family: Bacterial small subunit ribosomal RNA
Source: RNAcentral
GGAUUAGAUACCCUGGUAGUCCACGCCGUAAACGAUGUCUAUUAGCCGUUGGGGACCUAGUGUCCUUAGUGGCGCAGCUAACGCGAUAAAUAGACCGCCUGGGGAGUACGGCCGCAAGGUUAAAACUCAAAUGAAUUGACGGGGGCCCGCACAAGCGGUGGAGCAUGUGGUUUAAUUCGAUGCAACGCGAAGAACCUUACCAGGUCUUGACAUCCUCGGAACUUUCUAGAGAUAGAUUGGUGCCUUCGGGAACCGAGUGACAGGUGCUGCAUGGCUGUCGUCAGCUCGUGCUG